This 1054-nucleotide long non-coding RNA is filed under the name Homo sapiens (human). RNAcentral's name for it is "long non-coding RNA NONHSAT174183.1". The record is from RNAcentral. Lineage: Eukaryota; Metazoa; Chordata; Mammalia; Primates; Hominidae.
UCCUACAUUAUAUCACAUAGGUCUGUGUGACCAAUAGAAUCUGCAGAAGUGAUGCCACAGUACUUCCAAGAUUAGGUCAUAAAAGGUCCUGUUGCUUCCCUCUUGGUUUCUUUCCCUCUCUCUCUCCUCUCUCCUUUCUCUUGGACCCUUUGCUCUGGGGAAACCAGCUGCUACAUCACCAUCAGCCUUGUGACCAUGCCACAUGGUAAGGAGCUGAAAUCUCAGCAGCCACAUGAGUGAGCUCGGCAGCGGAUCCUUUAGGCCCCGUCAUGCAAUCCUGGAUUGCAGCCCUGGACAUCCACUUAACUAGCAAGACUGAGCCAGAACCACCCAGAUGAGCUGCUCCUGGAUUCCCAACUCUCAAAAACGGUGUUCCACAGACAUCCUACAUGCAUGACAUUGAUUCACUCUUACAUUUGACAGGAUUGCAGGAGCUCCUCAGACAAGAUCUGUGGCAACAGUAACAAUAAAAGCAUCCCAUGCGGACCAAACUCCUGCUGCAGUAAGAGCUAAACAUAUGGUGUCUUACUUUGCCCUCGUUAUUACCCCUGAGGGCAGAUGGUGCAGUCCCGGAACCUGGCCGUCCACUCCACCCACGUGCCUUAGCAAAGUGCCCUUGGUGAGGCUGAGGGACUAGGCAGCCAGGACUCCUGAGGGGACCUUAUCAGAGAGGGAAGCCACCUCGGACUGAGUGGUGAGUGCUGCUCUAGGACUGCCCUAAAACUGGAUUUGAACAAAAGACCACAUGCCGUAUGACUCCAUUGGAAUGAAACAUCCAGAACAGGCAAAGCCACAGAGGCAGGAAGCAGCAUCCCCCCAGGUCAGCAACACCUCUGGAGCUGAGGCUGGCAGAAUGUGGCGGGGGCUCCUCUGAGAGCAUGGCAGCUUCUAAUGGACCCACGUGGUUAGUUUGAGAGAAACAGUCACCAGAAGACAGCCAUAUGUGUCCGGGCUGGGAGACCUAACAUUUCAGAGCCACCAACCCUGCAUCACUGGCUGACAGGUGGCUGGACAUCGUGUCACCACUGUCUUCUGGGAAUAAACAUUUCUCAGC